This 468-nucleotide ribosomal RNA is filed under the name uncultured bacterium. Its description in RNAcentral is "partial 16S ribosomal RNA". It matches the Rfam family "Bacterial small subunit ribosomal RNA", at positions 28 to 507 of the family's 1533-position model. The record is from RNAcentral.
GACGAACGCUGGCGGCGUGCUUAACACAUGCAAGUCGAACGGAAAGGCCCUGCUUUUGUGGGGUGACGGAGGGGGAAAGGGGGGAGUAACAGGUAAAUAACCGGCCCUACACUUUGGGAUAACUUCAGGAAACUGGGGCUAAUCCCGGAUAGGAGCUCAUCUUGCAUGGUGGGGGUGGGAAAGUUUCUGCGGUUGGGGAUGGACUCGCGGCUUAUCAGCUUGUUGGUGGGGUAGUGGCUUACCAAGGCAUUGACGGGUAGCCGGCCUGAGAGGGUGACCGGCCACAUUGGGACUGAGAUACGGCCCAGACUCCUACGGGAGGCAGCAGUGGGGAAUAUUGCACAAUGGGCGGAAGCCUGAUGCAGCAACGCCGCGUGCGGGAUGACGGCCUUCGGGUUGUAAACCGCUUUCGCCUGUGACGAAGCGUGAGUGACGGUAAUGGGUAAAGAAGCACCGGCUAACUACGUG